CCUACGGGUGGCAGCAGUGGGGAAUAUUGCACAAUGGGGGAAACCCUGAUGCAGCGACGCCGCGUGAGUGAAGAAGUAUUUCGGUAUGUAAAGCUCUAUCAGCAGGGAAGAAAAUGACGGUACCUGACUAAGAAGCCCCGGCUAACUACGUGCCAGCAGCCGCGGUAAUACGUAGGGGGCAAGCGUUAUCCGGAUUUACUGGGUGUAAAGGGAGCGUAGACGGCAGCGCAAGUCUGAAGUGAAAUCCCGUGGCUUAACCCCGGAACUGCUUUGGAAACUGUGCGGCUAGAGUGCGGGAGAGGUAAGCGGAAUUCCUAGUGUAGCGGUGAAAUGCGUAGAUAUUAGGAGGAACACCAGUGGCGAAGGCGGCUUACUGGACUGUAACUGACGUUGAGGCUCGAAAGCGUGGGGAGCAAACAGGAUUAGAUACCCUUGUAGUC
This 440-nucleotide ribosomal RNA is filed under the name uncultured bacterium. RNAcentral describes it as "partial 16S ribosomal RNA". It matches the Rfam family "Bacterial small subunit ribosomal RNA", at positions 338 to 795 of the family's 1533-position model. The record is from RNAcentral.